GCCAGGAUGGCAGAUAGGCCAUGCGUCCGCCUGCAGAGCGGAAAAGGGGGGUUCGAUUCCCUCUCCUGGCU
RNAcentral lists this transfer RNA (71 nucleotides) under Microcaldota archaeon. RNAcentral describes it as "tRNA-Cys". It matches the Rfam family "tRNA". Rfam says of the family: Transfer RNA (tRNA) molecules are approximately 80 nucleotides in length. Their secondary structure includes four short double-helical elements and three loops (D, anti-codon, and T loops). Further hydrogen bonds mediate the characteristic L-shaped molecular structure. tRNAs have two regions of fundamental functional importance: the anti-codon, which is responsible for specific mRNA codon recognition, and the 3' end, to which the tRNAs corresponding amino acid is attached (by aminoacyl-tRNA synthetases). tRNAs cope with the degeneracy of the genetic code in two manners: having more than one tRNA (with a specific anti-codon) for a particular amino acid; and 'wobble' base-pairing, i.e. permitting non-standard base-pairing at the 3rd anti-codon position. Lineage: Archaea; Nanobdellati; Microcaldota. The record is from RNAcentral.